RNAcentral lists this long non-coding RNA (269 nucleotides) under Elaeis guineensis (African oil palm). Its description in RNAcentral is "long non-coding RNA (EGUI_LNC060162)". Lineage: Eukaryota; Viridiplantae; Streptophyta; Magnoliopsida; Arecales; Arecaceae. The record is from RNAcentral.
ACCCAAAACUCCCUUGACCAACUCUAUGGGAGAUUAGGUUAACCCAAGCCCAUGUACACCCAUGACUCGACCUAAUCUCACCUAUUCUGGGCCUAGACCUGGCCCAUAAAGAGGUGGUCCCUUGAGGCCCACUUAACCUAGACCUCAAGAACCUGAAAGGCCCACAGCCUUUCAACCUAGGGCCCAACUAGCCCUAGAACCUCCAUGAAGCCCUCAUGAAUGAUGGACCUUGGCCUUAGCCUUGGUCCCCUGGGCCUUGGACACACCAC